Transfer RNA from Microsporum canis CBS 113480, 82 nucleotides. It matches the Rfam family "tRNA". From Rfam's summary of the family: Transfer RNA (tRNA) molecules are approximately 80 nucleotides in length. Their secondary structure includes four short double-helical elements and three loops (D, anti-codon, and T loops). The record is from Rfam. NCBI's taxonomy places the organism in Eukaryota, Fungi, Ascomycota, Eurotiomycetes, Onygenales, Arthrodermataceae.
GGUCCCAUAGCUCAGUUGGUUAGAGCGUCGUACUAAUAUUAAGUUAAUGCGAAGGUCGAGAGUUCGACCCUCUCUGGGACCA